Molecule: ribosomal RNA, 460 nt
Filed under: uncultured bacterium
Lineage: Bacteria
Description: partial 16S ribosomal RNA
Rfam family: Bacterial small subunit ribosomal RNA
Source: RNAcentral
CCUACGGUAGGCAGCAGUGAGGAAUAUUGGUCAAUGGACGAGAGUCUGAACCAGCCAAGUAGCGUGAAGGAUGACUGCCCUAUGGGUUGUAAACUUCUUUUAUAAAGGAAUAAAACGCGGCACGUGUGCCUUUUUGCAUGUACUUUAUGAAUAAGGAUCGGCUAACUCCGUGCCAGCAGCCGAGGUAAUACGGAGGAUCCGACCGUUAUCCGGAUUUAUUGGGUUUAAAGGGAGCGUAGAUGGGUUGUUAAGUCCGUUGUGAAAGUUUGCGGCUCAACCGUAAAAUUGCAAUUGAUACUGGCAGUCUUGAGUAUAGUUGAGGUAGGCGGAAUUCGUGGUGUAGCGGUGAAAUGCUUAGAUAUCACGAAGAACCCCGAUUGCGAAGGCAGCUUACUAAACUGUGACUGACAUUGAUGCUCGAAAGUGUGGGUAUCAAACAGGAUUAGAUACCCCUGUAGUC